Long non-coding RNA from Mugil cephalus (flathead mullet), 2126 nucleotides. RefSeq lists it as uncharacterized. The transcript has 2 exons. NCBI's taxonomy places the organism in Eukaryota, Metazoa, Chordata, Actinopteri, Mugiliformes, Mugilidae. The record is from RefSeq and is a predicted model, not a curated record.
GAUGCUGGCUUUUUAUAGCUGUGUUUCACGCGUUUAACUCCAGGUGAAACUACCCCGAGUUGAUUAAAGUAACUCAAUCGCUGUUGUGAAACUCAGAGUUUUCUAUCUCAGAGUAGAUCAACUCAGAUUUUAGGAUUAGACUCAGAGUUUGUUGAACCUGCUUUUGAAACGGACCCCUGAACAACUGCAGCCAUGGGUACACACCCAUUUCUUUAUGAACUGAAACCCAUGAGUAUUCUGGAAAUAGAGCUUGUUCUGUCACCUUAGAUCCGUCAUCUAAAGUUGCUGUUUGAUUAUUUUCAUACAUUAAAAAACAACUAUGCCAGUCAAACAAGAACAGAACUAUAACUAAUGCUGUGGUAGAAUAUAACUAUAUCAUCUGAUAUAGAAACUGAAUGUCAUAGAAAUAUAGAGCACCUUAAUCCAGCUAAAGCUAUCUGUUAUCAUCCGACUUGGUUCUCAGCCACGGGAGCCGCAAAGCUGUUCACGGCGGGAGGUCCGAUUUGCCACUUUUGCCGAUGUGAAAGCACCAAAGGCAAGUCGACCUUGGUCGACCCGGGAUUUUCGAUGUGAAAGCAGUCUACCAGUUGGGGUCUGAGGUGCAAUAAAUAUAUAUAUAUAUAUAAAAAAAGUUAUGUGUAAGUAUGUGUCUAUACAGUUCUACUCCAUGCAACUGGCUUGUGGAACCUACUAAGAAAAAAAUUAUUAGACAUAUUUAAACUAAAAAAAAAUAGAUAAAUAAAAAAAUAGUAAUUCUGAGUAAUGCAAUAGUUACUUUCUCUGGUAACUAGUUACUUUUAUAGCGGAGUAAUUCAGUUAUUAACUUAGUUACUUUUGGGGAGAAGUAACUAGUAACUAUAACUAAAUACUUUUUAAAAGUAACGUGCCCCACACUUGUAAGCAAUCACAAAAUUCUAAUCUUGUGUUUGAGAUAUAAACAGGGCAACAGUACCCAGAGGAUCUUUUGGUCUAGUUCACUUUGCAGGCAGGUCCUAUUUAAUUCAUUUUUGAUUGAGAACAGGUGUGGCAGUAAUCAGGCCUGGGUGCUAGAGAGAUUGAACUAAGAUGUGAUGAACCACAGUUAAGUUAGAUUUUAACAGGAAACACAUUUCCACACAGUGCCAUACAUGUUUGGAUUUAUUUUCUCCUUAAAAACAAAAACCUUAAUUUAAAAACUGUGUUAUAUGUUUACUUGUGUUAUCUUUUUUUCUUAAAUUAAGUAUGUUUGAUAAUCUGAAACAUUUAGGUGUGACAAACAUGAAAUCAGGAAAGGGGCAAACCCUUUUGCACACCACGGUACAGUAUAUGAGGUUUCAUACACUGAUCAGUGACAACAUUAUGACCACUGACAAGAGAAGUAAACCAUGUUCAUCUUUUGGACCUGGCAUUCAAGUGGAUGCACCAUAUCAGGUGGUCAUAAUGUUAUGCCAGAUUGGUGUAUCUAAGAUUAAUAAUCAUUGGAAGUUUAUCUAUCAAGUAUAUUUAAAUACAACCAGUUGACAUAAGAUUUAAAAACUACAAGGAAUGAUGUGAAGAAAAAAAAGAAAACAAAAAAAUAGUUAUUAUGCAAAAUAUUCCCAUUGGUGUAACUGUUUCCUUGCACCCUGGGCUCUAAUAUUGAUUUUUGACUAAAUAAAUGGAAUUGAUUUACUUGGCAUUAACGCACAGUUCUUAAAGUGUCUGUACUGUACCAUUGUUAAUUCUAACCGUAAUAUUUUAAGUCCUUUAUAAGUUUUUUUUUUCCCCUUAAGUGGCGAUUUAGAAACAAGAUGAUCUUACAAGCUUUUAACCAGCAGACAUCUGUUAUUCAAGAUAACCACAUGUGGCUCCAUCAGCAUGACAAUAUAGGAUGGAUUCCCAACAGGGCGCAUUCAUAAGGAAGAAAUAAGAGGACCAUGACAACUGCAUGUACAAAAGAGAAUACAAUAAGCAUCAAUAGUGUACUACAUAAAUAUGUCUACAAAAUGACAUAUUACACGUGUGUCUGCUUUUGCAGUAGUUUAACAACAAACUGAGGAAACCUGCAUCUCAAACCUGCACGUGUACCUGCACGUACAAAAGUUAAUAAACUCAGUAUCCACACAAAAUUAAAAAAAAUAAAUAAAAAAAUGAUCCAACCAACAACA